GAGGGUAUAGCUCAACUGGUAGAGCACAUGCUUAUCAUGCAUGAGGUCUUGGGUUCAAUCCCCAGUACCUCCA
Molecule: transfer RNA, 73 nt
Filed under: Camelus bactrianus (Bactrian camel)
Lineage: Eukaryota; Metazoa; Chordata; Mammalia; Artiodactyla; Camelidae
Also listed under: 2 other names
Rfam family: tRNA
About the family: Transfer RNA (tRNA) molecules are approximately 80 nucleotides in length. Their secondary structure includes four short double-helical elements and three loops (D, anti-codon, and T loops). Further hydrogen bonds mediate the characteristic L-shaped molecular structure. tRNAs have two regions of fundamental functional importance: the anti-codon, which is responsible for specific mRNA codon recognition, and the 3' end, to which the tRNAs corresponding amino acid is attached (by aminoacyl-tRNA synthetases). tRNAs cope with the degeneracy of the genetic code in two manners: having more than one tRNA (with a specific anti-codon) for a particular amino acid; and 'wobble' base-pairing, i.e. permitting non-standard base-pairing at the 3rd anti-codon position.
Source: Rfam by way of RNAcentral